RNAcentral lists this ribosomal RNA (238 nucleotides) under uncultured bacterium. RNAcentral's name for it is "partial 16S ribosomal RNA". It matches the Rfam family "Bacterial small subunit ribosomal RNA", at positions 95 to 334 of the family's 1533-position model. The record is from RNAcentral.
CCGGCAAACGGGUGCGGAACACGUACAGAACCUUCCUUUAAGCGGGGAUAGCCCGGAGAAAUCCGGAUUAAUACCCCAUAGUAAUGUUGGGUGGCAUCACUUGAUAUUUAAAGAUUUAUCACUUAGAGAUGGCUGUGCGGCUGAUUAGGUAGUUGGCGGGGUAAAGGCCCACCAAGCCAUCGAUCAGUAACUGGUGUGAGAGCACGACCAGUCACACGGGCACUGAGACACGGGCCCG